CAGCCGCCGCGGGAAUACGAAGGGUGCGAGCGUUACCCGGAUUUACUGGGCGUAAAGGGCGUGUAGGCGGCCUGGGGCGUCCCAUGUGAAAGGCCACGGCUCAACCGUGGAGGAGCGUGGGAUACGCUCAGGCUAGAGGGUGGGAGAGGGUGGUGGAAUUCCCGGAGUAGCGGUGAAAUGCGCAGAUACCGGGAGGAACGCCGAUGGCGAAGGCAGCCACCUGGUCCACUUCUGACGCUGAGGCGCGAAAGCGUGGGGAGCAAACCGGAUUAGAUACCCCUGUAGUCCCUGUCUCUUAUAC
Molecule: ribosomal RNA, 301 nt
Filed under: uncultured bacterium
Lineage: Bacteria
Description: partial 16S ribosomal RNA
Rfam family: Bacterial small subunit ribosomal RNA
Source: RNAcentral